This 252-nucleotide ribosomal RNA is filed under the name uncultured Odoribacter sp. RNAcentral describes it as "partial 16S ribosomal RNA". It matches the Rfam family "Bacterial small subunit ribosomal RNA", at positions 524 to 776 of the family's 1533-position model. The record is from RNAcentral. Lineage: Bacteria; Pseudomonadati; Bacteroidota; Bacteroidia; Bacteroidales; Odoribacteraceae.
UACGGAGGAUGCGAGCGUUAUCCGGAUUUAUUGGGUUUAAAGGGUGCGUAGGCGGUAUUUUAAGUUAGUGGUAAAACGUCGGGGCUUCACCUUGAUUGGCCAUUAAAACUGGAGUACUAGAGUACAGACGAGGUAGGCGGAAUAAGUUAAGUAGCGGUGAAAUGCUUAGAUAUAACUUAGAACCCCGAUAGCGAAGGCAGCUUACCAAACUAUAUCUGACGUUGAGGCACGAAAGCGUGGGUAGCAAACAGG